CAGUCGCCGCGGUAAUACGGAGGGUGCAAGCGUUAAUCGGAAUUACUGGGCGUAAAGCGCACGCAGGCGGUCUGACAAGUCAGAUGUGAAAUCCCCGGGCUUAACCUGGGAACUGCAUUUGAAACUGUCAGGCUGGAGUCUUGUAGAGGGGGGUAGAAUUCCAGGUGUAGCGGUGAAAUGCGUAGAGAUCUGGAGGAAUACCGGUGGCGAAGGCGGCCCCCUGGACAAAGACUGACGCUCAGGUGCGAAAGCGUGGGGAGCAAACAGGAUUAGAUACCCGAGUAGUCCCUGUCUCUUAUAA
This 301-nucleotide ribosomal RNA is filed under the name uncultured bacterium. RNAcentral's name for it is "partial 16S ribosomal RNA". It matches the Rfam family "Bacterial small subunit ribosomal RNA", at positions 509 to 809 of the family's 1533-position model. The record is from RNAcentral.